RNAcentral lists this ribosomal RNA (305 nucleotides) under uncultured bacterium. Its description in RNAcentral is "bacterial SSU rRNA". It matches the Rfam family "Bacterial small subunit ribosomal RNA", at positions 29 to 334 of the family's 1533-position model. The record is from RNAcentral.
AACGAACGCUGGCGGCGUGCUUAACACAUGCAAGUCGAACGAGAAAGUCCCUUCGGGGGCGAGUAGAGUGGCGCACGGGUGAGUAAUGCAUAAGAACGUGCCUAUCGGAGUGGAAUAACCACGGGAAACUGUGGCUAAUACCGCAUAAUGUCGCAAGACCAAAGGGGGCCUCUUCCUGAAAGCUUCCGCCGAUAGAUCGGCUUAUGUCCCAUUAGCUUGUUGGUAGGGUAACGGCCUACCAAGGCAACGAUGGGUAGCUGGUCUGAGAGGAUGAUCAGCCACACUGGAACUGAGACACGGUCCAG